UACGGAGGGUGCGAACGUUGCUCGGAAUCAUUGGGCGUAAAGCGUAUGUAGGCGGCUCGUUAAGUCGGGUGUGAAAUCCCUGGGCUCAACCCAGGAACUGCAUUCGAUACUGGCAGGCUUGAGUACAGGAGAGGGUGGCGGAAUUCCCGGUGUAGAGGUGAAAUUCGUAGAUAUCGGGAGGAACACCUGUGGCGAAGGCGGCCACCUGGACUGAUACUGACGCUGAGUAUACGAAAGCGUGGGGAGCAAACAGG
Molecule: ribosomal RNA, 254 nt
Filed under: uncultured bacterium
Lineage: Bacteria
Description: partial 16S ribosomal RNA
Rfam family: Bacterial small subunit ribosomal RNA
Source: RNAcentral